Molecule: unclassified non-coding RNA, 405 nt
Filed under: soil metagenome
Description: partial contains 5.8S ribosomal RNA, internal transcribed spacer 2, and large subunit ribosomal RNA
Rfam family: 5.8S ribosomal RNA (bases 1-121)
Source: RNAcentral
GAUGAAGAACGUAGCGAAAUGCGAUAAGUAAUGUGAAUUGCAGAAUUCAGUGAAUCAUCGAAUCUUUGAACGCACCUUGCGCCCUUUGGCCAUUCCGAAGGGCAUGCCUGUUUGAGUAUCAUGAACACCUCAACUCUUUAUGGUUUUCCAUGAUGAGCUUGGACUCUGGGGGUUUUGCUGGCUCACAGUCGGCUCCUCUAAAAUGAAUCAGCUUACCAGUGUUUGGUGGGUAUCAUGGGUGUGAUAACUAUCUACGCUUGUGGUUUUUCCACCAGGUAACCUUCAGCAGUGGAGGUUCGCUGGAGCUCAUAGAUGUCUCUCCUCAGUGAGGACAGCCCUUUGAAUGUUUGAGCUCAAAUCAGGUAGGACUACCCGCUGAACUUAAGCAUAUCAAUAAGCGGAGGA